AUGAGGGGUCAUUCCGCUGAUGGCUUUACUUACGACCCGCGGUACGAGCCUUAUAUUCGGAGAUUGGGUCUUCUCCCAUUCGUGUUGCAGUUUAAGCGACGCGCUCCGCCGGUGAACCACGCGGCGUUGACCGCACUUGUGGAUCGUUGGAGGCCGGAGACUCACUCGUUCCACCUUCCAUGUGGGGAGCUGACGAUGACCCUAGAGGACAUGGCUAUGAUAAGCGGCCUUCCUAUCGACGGACAGGCUGUUACCAGUCGUGUCAGCGUCGUUAAUUGGCGAGAACGGACAGGCAUUUUAAUUGGUGUUCAGCCCGACGACCCUCAAGAAGGCAAGGCCGAUACCGCGAGAGUGAGGCAUUCUUGGCUAAAACUAGUCAGAGGAGACACCAAUCCGUGCCCUCAGGGUGCCAAUGAAGUGGUUGUGCAAUAG
This 432-nucleotide ribosomal RNA is filed under the name Triticum aestivum (bread wheat). Its description in RNAcentral is "partial small subunit ribosomal RNA". Lineage: Eukaryota; Viridiplantae; Streptophyta; Magnoliopsida; Poales; Poaceae. The record is from RNAcentral.